UUCAGCUCUGAAAGUCCGGCCACCACACCUUGAAUUCCUACUCUCAUUUGGCUAAUGUAAAUAAUUGAUCAGGGAUAGAAAAGUUCUGAAGAAAAGCCUCCCCCUCUUGUACCCUCCUGUGGGGAAGAGUCUGGCUGCUGUCCAUCUCCCGGUGACCAGAGGAGGAAGAACCACCUAUUUUCAGAGCUACAACACAGGCUCACCGGUGACAUUCACGAUUCUAAAGGUGGCUUCCUGGCCUGGGUGAACCCAACUUGGAAACAGAUGAGGAAACAGGUUCAUAAGAACAAGAUCGGGGCGCCUGGGGGGCCCAGUCCGUUGAGCGUCCAACUUGGGCUUCAGGUCGUGAUCUCGCGGUCCAACAAGAUCAUCUGCUCAAGCGUGACGUCACCGGGAGUUGCCCGGCAUUGAGAUAGAGAACCGACAUCUUGACUCCAAAUCCGCCUCUGUUUCCCUCCAAAGACUCCACUCCAUUUCCCUGAGAUGUCUUCACUGAAACCCCUCCCUGCACACUUCGGAGAAUCCUCCAAACAACCUGUGUUCCACGAUGCUCAGAGGUUGGAGUUUCCCCGCGGGUGCACAUCCCACCCGCGGCCACGAGAUGGCAGGGUCGCCCCGACCACCGAGGGCUCCAUUCCUCGCGCCAGUAGGGGGCUGUCGUUCCUCGCUUCACAACGUGAGAAACGAAAACAAAAAAAGAAAAACAAAACAAAACAAUAAAACUUCAGUGUCCACGUUGAUGAAAUGAGGUGGUGGGAGGUUUGUUUUCCCUUUUCUUUCUUUUCUUUUUCUCUUUUAAGUCAGGCAGGGAGAGUUCAAACAAACAAGUCUCUCCAUUUUCACCACUGUGUUUGCUUUUCGAGGCACGAGGUCAGGACUUGGGCCAGCCGCCGAGCCUACAUUAUUCAUCUGUCCAGCGCCAGCCCUGGAACAAAUGGGAAGAAAUGAAGUAGCUUCAGUCGAAGGGAAACAGUGUUGUUAUUGUUGCUGGUGACAGUUCUAUUUGCCAACAAACAUAAAAACAUACUUUGGAACCCGGAAUGGGCUUGUCAGAGGGAACUUUUGUCCCAUGUUUGGGCUGGGAUGCUUCCAGAUAGAAAUCAGGCGGUGGGGGGAGAGCUGUGCCCGGCAGCCACUGACCCGAAUGCCAAGCCAUCAGCUGCCGGUCUCAUCUGGGUGUUAUGUGCCCACGGUCCACGAGGCUCCGUGUCGCCAGCCGGGGUCCCUGCCCUGAAUGGGUCUUACGGGAGAGGAGCGAGGGGCACGUAGUCCAGGAUGACGGGCUCUCCGCA
Molecule: long non-coding RNA, 1292 nt
Organism: Neofelis nebulosa (Clouded leopard)
Lineage: Eukaryota; Metazoa; Chordata; Mammalia; Carnivora; Felidae
Exons: 4
Source: RefSeq, a predicted model, not a curated record